CCACAUUAAACGAGAUCAGCCAGGGUAGGCAGCUCAUGCUAGGGACGGGCUCCACCCAACAGCAAGCCCUUGGGCAACUUGUGAAACUGCAUAGACUGAGUGCCCAGAUCUUCCGCAGGCAGUUUAUGAAGUGAAAGCAUUUUGGAUACGACAAUAAGUUGAACCUGUUUCGUGGUCUUCCAACUUCCUUCCUGGAUUCUGAGGCCCCAGACGCCCUAGUAUGGAAUUACUGGAGUUCUAAGACCUGGCCACUCCUGAGGAUUAUAUCAGCCACUUGAGAAAUGAUGGGAUCAUUUAAGCUCAUUUAAGGUAUUAUCUAGCAGUUGGUAAUAGUGCGUCUAAUUACAGACUAGAGGAAAUAUUUAGUUGGAGGGAGUAGGGGAGAAGAGGAUGAGAAAAGAGAGACUUAUAAGUGCAUCUUCCUCCUUCAUCUUUCUACUUGUACUUACCUCUCCUGCUUCCUGUUCUGUCUUGCAUUUACUACCACUAAAUGCCAUUCACAUGACCAGGAAUGUUAGAUUGUCACUAUCACCUGCUUCCAUGGAACACAUAAAUGUUUCAUGUUACUGUGUUCAAAAUAGUGAUUAAGUAGAAUAAAUGUUAUAGCUAUAAAAACUGAGGCUCGGAGAGAUCAAUAAUCAUAACAUCUAGCAUUUACAUGACACUUUUAGUCUUCCAAGUACCUUUCUAUAUCCUAACUCAUGUGACAUAGGUGAUAUUCUGGGCACCUCUGUAUGUCUCAGCUUCAACUUUGAAAGAGG
RNAcentral lists this long non-coding RNA (761 nucleotides) under Equus caballus (horse). RNAcentral's name for it is "lncRNA (ENSECAG00000049551.1)". The record is from RNAcentral. Lineage: Eukaryota; Metazoa; Chordata; Mammalia; Perissodactyla; Equidae.